RNAcentral lists this ribosomal RNA (546 nucleotides) under uncultured bacterium. Its description in RNAcentral is "bacterial SSU rRNA". It matches the Rfam family "Archaeal small subunit ribosomal RNA", at positions 723 to 1269 of the family's 1478-position model. The record is from RNAcentral.
ACUAAAUAGAUACCCGGGUAGUCCCAGCCGUAAACGAUGCUCGCUAGGUGUCAGGCAUGGCGCGACCGUGUCUGGUGCCGCAGGGAAGCCGUGAAGCGAGCCACCUGGGAAGUACGGCCGCAAGGCUGAAACUUAAAGGAAUUGGCGGGGGAGCACAACAACGGGUGGAGCCUGCGGUUUAAUUGGACUCAACGCCGGACAACUCACCGGGGGCGACAGCAAUAUGUGGGCCAAGCUGAAGACUUUGCCUGAAUCGCUGAGAGGAGGUGCAUGGCCGUCGCCAGUUCGUACUGUGAAGCAUCCUGUUAAGUCAGGCAACGAGCGAGACCCGUGCCCACUGUUACCAGCAUGUCCUCCGGGACGAUGGGUACUCUGUGGGGACCGCCGAUGUUAAAUCGGAGGAAGGUGCGGGCCACGGUAGGUCAGUAUGCCCCGAAUCUCCCGGGCUACACGCGGGCUACAAUGGAUGGGACAAUGGGUCCCUCCCCUGAAAAGGGCUGGUAAUCUCACAAACCCAUUCGUAGUUCGGAUCGAGGGCUGUAACUC